AAAAUUACUAACCAUGAUGAUUGGGUUUUCAUGAUAAGGCAUGAAAUGCACCUCCUUCAAACCUUCUUAUGAUGUCACCACAUUCCCCAUGUGAUG
Molecule: small nucleolar RNA, 96 nt
Organism: Otolemur garnettii (small-eared galago)
Lineage: Eukaryota; Metazoa; Chordata; Mammalia; Primates; Galagidae
Source: Ensembl